GGUUGAGGUGAGGAUAAACCUGUACAGAAACUUGACUGUUGUGUUGACCAAAAUACAGACUACAAUUAUCUGAUCAACC
Triticum aestivum (bread wheat) is the source of this 79-nucleotide non-coding RNA. The record is from Rfam. Lineage: Eukaryota; Viridiplantae; Streptophyta; Magnoliopsida; Poales; Poaceae.